AUGGCCAUGGCAGGAACCCUGGCAGCAGUGUUCCAGGCCUGGGCACCUGACGCCCUGCCCGGACUCUCACAGGGUGAGACCCCAGUGUCACACGCCUCCUCUCUUGCAGAGCCCCCUAAGGCCCCAGACGUCUUCCCGCUGACCAUCUGUGGGAACACACCUGACCCCAAGGUGCCCGUGGGCUGCCUGGUCUCCAACUACUUCCCAGAGCCAGUGACUGUGUCCUGGAACUGUAAUCCCCUGAAAGACGACAUAUACACCUUUCCGUUGGACCUGAGCAACUCGGCUCACCACUCCCUCAGCAGCAUGAUGGCUGUGCCUAGGAGCAGCUUGAACCAGACCUACAUCUGCAACGUAGCCCACCCGGCCAGCAGCACCAAGGUGGACAAGCAAAUCGUCGUAAAAGGCUCCCCCUUCUCCACAUGCCCAGCUCCUGAGCUCCCGGGAGGGCCUUCGGUCUUCAUCUUCCCCCCAAAACCGAAGGACGUCCUCAAGAUUUCCCGAAAGCCCGAGGUCACCUGUGUGGUGGUGGAUUUGGGUCAUGACGACCCCGAUGUCCAGUUCACCUGGUUUGUGGAUGGGGUGGAGACGCACACAGCCACAACGGAGCCAAAGGAGGAGCAGUUCAACAGCACCUACCGUGUAGUCAGCGUCCUCCCCAUCCAGCACCAGGACUGGCUGUCCGGAAAGGAGUUCAAGUGUAGCGUCACCAACCAAGCCCUCCCAGCCCCCGUCGAGAGGACCACCUCCAAGGCCAAAGGGCAGCCCCGGGUGCCGCAGGUGUACGUCCUGGCCCCACACCCAGACGAGCUGGCCAAGAACACGGUCAGCGUGACCUGCCUGGUCAAGGACUUCUACCCACCUGAAAUCGAUGUCGAGUGGCAGAGCAAUGAGCAUCCAGAGCCAGAGGGCAAGUACAGCACCACCCCAGCCCAGCAGGACGGCGACGGGUCCUACUUCCUGUACAGCAAGCUCUCCGUGGAGACAAGCAGGUGGAAGCAGGGAGAGUCAUUCACGUGUGGGGUGAUGCACGAGGCUGUAGAAAAUCACUAUACACAGGAGAACAUCUCCCACUCUCUGGGUAAAUGAGCCACACGCCCGGCACCCGGCGAGCCAUCCCUUCUUCCCCGCCGGCUCUCAGGGUCCAGCAAGGACACCUGAGCCCCCACCCCUGUGUACAUACCUCCUGGGCACCCAGCAUGAAAUAAAGCACCCAGCAUGGCCCUGGGACCCUGCGA
Equus quagga is the source of this 1238-nucleotide non-coding RNA. The record is from the annotation of a RefSeq genome assembly. Lineage: Eukaryota; Metazoa; Chordata; Mammalia; Perissodactyla; Equidae.